RNAcentral lists this ribosomal RNA (166 nucleotides) under Gobiesocidae sp. FLMOO_1366. RNAcentral describes it as "partial small subunit ribosomal RNA". The record is from RNAcentral. Lineage: Eukaryota; Metazoa; Chordata; Actinopteri; Blenniiformes; Gobiesocidae.
AACCGCGGUUAUACGAAAGGCCCAAGUAGACAAUUUUCGGCGUAAAGAGUGGUUUAUUUAAACAAUACUAAAGCCGAACACCCUCAAGACUGUCAUACGUGUUCGAGAACAUGUAAGCCCAUUUACGAAAGUGGCUUUAUAAAAUAACACCACUAAAGCUGAGGCA